Long non-coding RNA from Manis pentadactyla (Chinese pangolin), 3548 nucleotides. RefSeq lists it as uncharacterized. Lineage: Eukaryota; Metazoa; Chordata; Mammalia; Pholidota; Manidae. The transcript is spliced from 3 exons. The record is from RefSeq and is a predicted model, not a curated record.
GUCUUUCACAGAGAACAAUGUUUUAAUUUUGAUGAAGUCCUAUUUAUCAAUUCUUAUUUUCUGGAUCAAGCUUUUUGGUGUCAAGAUGCAUAUCUAAGUGUUCCUGCACUACUUGAAAAGUCUACUCUUUUGUGAUUUUGUCAAAAAUCAGUUGGGCCUAUUUACGUUUUGCCACAAUGUGACCAGACCAUGAUUGCUUGGGAGAAGAUCCUGGAAUGAAUACCACCCACUAAAUGGCUGGUACUUACGAGAAAGGCCUGGGGGAAAUCAUCAGAAUGUUGAAGUAAGAGGUACUUAAAAGUUUACAGUUAAGGAAAAUAAAGUAAAGAAGGCAGAGAGAGUGGUAGCUGAGGGAGGGAGACAGGGCUGAACCAUAGCUCGUUACUCAGAAAGUGACAUCACUGUUACUUCAACAGUUUCUCUAAAUUUCCCUUACAUUAACUUCUUCUCAGGAAGUGUACGGAAAGCCGAAUGCCUAUUAGCACUGAUUUGUGGGAUCCCUCUUACUAGGUCAACACUCAACUCUUCCAUAGGAUGCCAGGCAAGCAAGCAUGAAAGCUAAGGCCUCCACUGUCACUUUUUGGGCACUGAUAACACAAAAAUGUUCAAAGAACCAAGAAAACCUCUAAAGAGAAAUCUAAACAAAACUAAAGGAUUGCUCAUAUAGGAUCAGUUGAAUAAAUUAAGGUACAUUCAUACAAGGUAAUCUUAUACUACCUAUUAAUUAUAUCAAUAAGGUCAUUUCUCAGUGUGCAUUUGGAAAAAUCACUACAAUGAAACAAAAAAGCCCAGUGCAAGACAAUAUGUGUGGCCCUCUGAAGGUAGGGAAGGAGCUCAAAUGUCAUUUUUAUUUAACCUUCAUAACCACAUAUAAUUCUACUAAUUGGUGAAGAAACCAAAGUUUGUAAGUUGUAGAGUCCAUGGUUUAAAGGAUUGCAAUUUGACUGGAGUCUUCUGAAGCAUUUGAUUGUUAAUUGCAUCCUGUCCCCUCAGUCCUGGGCAUCUGCCAUUCUCAAUUCUGUCACUACUCAAAAUGUAACCACUGGGCCAAGAGCUGCAGCAGCCACGGGCAGCUGUUUAGAAAUGCUUUCCUACCUAGAUUAUUAAACCCAGUCAUUCUUUCUGCCAAAAGUAAAGCUCUCCAUGCUGUUUUUGCGUGGAAUGCAUGGAUAAUGUUUAGCGGUCAAUGUGAAAGUCUAUAGAGUGAAAAAGAAUUUAGGAUUGCAUACUGCUUAAGACCUGCAAUUCAUUGCUGCAUGAAAGCACAUAAACCUGUGGGGACAGAAGUAAUUAAAGGUAUAAAUGUAAUAUACAAAAGAGGACUGAUCUUAAUUAAGUCAUUAUCUCAUGGCCUCUCAUUACUUCAUGGCCUAGCAUUUCUGUCCAUGCUUAUCUAUGAUGGAUAAGGACUUAAAUAAAAUCUAUUUUAGCCUGAAAAAGGACAUAAAGGUCAGGUCCCGUCCCAGACUUAAUGAAUCAGACUCUGCAAGUCAGCAAGAUCUCCCGGACAGGGUUUAGGUUUGUUUAAGUCUGAGAAGGGCUCCUGUGGGUGACGGCAACCUCAGGGGUGUUUUUAUUGCUCUAUUGUGUCAGGUUCCAGGGUUCAGGUCACUAUCAAAAACAGACACAAAGAUGAAAUAUUUCUCACGCGUCUAUGCAGAGUUUUUGAAAUGACACAGAUAAGGGUGGAAAGUGAGCUGGGAAUGACCCAAAGCGUCGCCAGGGUAUACAUACCCCCCCACAGAUGAAUAGCCGGGCGGUUUGCAGAAGGGUGAGGAAGAGAGCCAAGGCAGCACUGAGAGGGCAGCCCUGCGCCGUCAGGCCUCGGGGGCUCAGGGCUCCCUCUGUCCUGUCUCUGUGCAGCCAUGUUGCUUCAAGUGAGGUAAACAUGCCGGGCGUUGUUAUUCUCGAGUGAUAAACAAGACAGGGCCCAUGUACACAGCACACCAAACUCCCAUAGGAGGAAGGCGUUUUUAAUCCAUGAAUUACAACAAUUUGAAAGGAAAUCGAGGCCUCUGGCCAGGGACCAGACUCUAAAGAAAUAUGUUUUACCAGGACAUAAAGCCAGCCAGGGCCUUGGAAAUAAUAAAUAAGGUGCAUUCACAUCCCAAAACACAGCAAAAGGCUUCCACCCACUCUCUUUCUGUACCCCUUUGUCUGUUGAUUUGGUGAUAAAUUUGCAAUUAAAUGUUUGAUAAUGAAAGCCCAGUGCCUAAUAAAUUAAAACACUUAAUGCUUGAAUAUCCCAUUCACCAGUUUGAAUUUUAAAAAGAAAGGUUUUAAGAAGGUAAAAUUAGGAUGUAAGCUUAUGUUCUUAUUUGGCCAAAAGUCCUACUAGCAGCAAGUUGCGAUGUGGCAAAGAAAGUCCAUCAGAGCUCAGACAGACAAAGAAGUCAGAGACUAGUCUGUUGCAAGGGGCAUCGGUAUUUUUGAUGAAGUCAUGUGGGUGUAUCCAGGAGAUGGGAUGGACAAGAGCAAAAGGGAACAAGUCAUUUCUGUCUCAGUUUCAUGUUAGGGCGAUCAAUUUAUCCCAGUUGCCUGGGAUUUUCCCAGCUUUAACACCCUCAGAAAUCCCUCAGACGAGGGCAAACUGGGACAAACAGUCACCCUACUGACCAUAUACUGAGGUAAUCAGCUGGGUGCGGAAUAGCCCUGGCCAGGUCCUGAUACCCAGGGCACUCCCCGAGCUCUGGUUUGUCUAAAUCUGAAAGUCAGCCCUGCCGAGCCAAAUACUGUCUGAAGCACACCCUUUGGAGGAGAACACAGCAGGGGUGCUGCGUGAUCACAAGUCUGAUCUCAUGCCCAGUGGGUGAGUCAUGGUGGGCAAGGGCUCAAGAGACAGAAGGAAAGACCUGGAGGCACCACGCGAGACAUGAGGGUCUAUUGGGACUUAUGCACAGGGAGUCCAGGAGGCUGACUGGAUGAGAUUGUGCACUGCUGUUGUGGACAGGGAGGGAACUGUUCAUGGGGUGCAGGACACAGGCUACCUGUGUGCCAGGGGUGAGGGGACAGAGACUGCGUGCUUUGCUAGGAGAGAUCAUUCUUGUGUGACCAGCACUCCAAGGAAUGAAACCUUGAUCAGAGGAAUUGGCCUCUUAAGAACAUGUUUCCAUGGAUAAGAGGCCUGGAUUUGGCCAGCCCCAGGCCAUCAGAUACCCUGCAUGCCGCCAAAGGAGGGGGCACGUGGACACUCGGUUAUUCUGGGACAGAAGAUUACAAGCAGGCAGGGCUUGUCCCCACAAGUGUCAUUUCCCAAACAGAGGCUCACUAGUCUUUGAUGCAAACUUUUCCAACAACGGUGGUGUUUUGAAAGCCAGGCUUUUAUUUGGAGAAGGCAUCUUGGAAAAUCCUUGAAAACGCUUCCUUUAUUUUUAUUAAAGAGCCCCUGGAACAUGUCCAUGGGCUUGCAUAGUGCCCUUUUUAGUUUAGAUUGACUUCUUCCUCCUCACGCCACACUGAAACCUAAACAAAACCCAAACAUGAGCUCCUGUGCUGCAGGCGGUAUUCCGUUCAGUCUGAGCCCCUGCCGCCAGGGAACAGAUGAGCUC